RNAcentral lists this long non-coding RNA (290 nucleotides) under Chrysolophus pictus (golden pheasant). RNAcentral describes it as "lncRNA (ENSCPIG00010007107.1)". Lineage: Eukaryota; Metazoa; Chordata; Aves; Galliformes; Phasianidae. The record is from RNAcentral.
GAAUCUUCUCUGAUGAUCUGAGACUACAUGGUGCCAAGUGAAUCCUGUUAUAUUUUAAGGUCAAGUUAAAUGAAAAAGAUCUUAUACUGGCUGAUCCUAAAUUGUUUUUUUUAUUGAUUCAAUCAAUUUUAGUCAAACCAAAUUGGAGAGUAACAUCCCACAUAGACCAAAUUGCAAAUUCUAACAAGAACUCCUGGAGAAAAGACAGCUGGGGACUAUCAUUACCAACAGGAGGGGCAUAUUAUUACCGUCCUGUCCUUCUUCAGCUGCUUUCCCUUGAGUGGGCCUGA